GACGAACCGUCCGAACGUUAUUCGGAAUUAUUGGGCUUAAAGGGUGCGUAGGCGGUGCUGUAAGUCGGGUGUGCAAUCCCACGGCUCAACCGUGGAACUGCGCUCGAUACUGCAGUGCUUGAGGGAGACAGAGGUAAGCGGAACUGAUGGUGGAGCGGUGAAAUGCGUUGAUAUCAUCAGGAACACCAGUGGCGAAAGCGGCUUACUGGGUCUCUUCUGACGCUGAGGCACGAAAGCUAGGGUAGCGAACGGG
RNAcentral lists this ribosomal RNA (253 nucleotides) under uncultured bacterium. Its description in RNAcentral is "partial 16S ribosomal RNA". It matches the Rfam family "Bacterial small subunit ribosomal RNA", at positions 524 to 776 of the family's 1533-position model. The record is from RNAcentral.